This 345-nucleotide unclassified non-coding RNA is filed under the name soil metagenome. RNAcentral's name for it is "partial contains 5.8S ribosomal RNA, internal transcribed spacer 2, and large subunit ribosomal RNA". The stretch from base 1 to 120 matches the Rfam family "5.8S ribosomal RNA", at positions 35 to 154 of the family's 154-position model. The record is from RNAcentral.
GAUGAAGAACGCAGCGAAAUGCGAUAAGUAAUGUGAAUUGCAGAAUUCAGUGAAUCAUCGAGUCUUUGAACGCACAUUGCGCCCCCUGGUAUUCCGGGGGGCAUGCCUGUCCGAGCGUCAUUGCUGCCCUCAAGCACGGCUUGUGUGUUGGGCCUCCGUCCUCCUCCCGGGGGACGGGCCCGAAAGGCAGCGGCGGCACCGCGUCCGGUCCUCGAGCGUAUGGGGCUUCGUCACCCGCUCUUGUAGGCCCGGCCGGCGCUUGCCGACACAUCAAUCUUUUUUCCAGGUUGACCUCGGAUCAGGUAGGGAUACCCGCUGAACUUAAGCAUAUCAACAAGCGGAGGA